CCAAAUGAAAAGUUGAUGAAGUGAAAUAUUCAGUCAUGUCAAACACCCCAUUUAAUCUGAUGCCUUGGCCUGUACCACCAUUCAAGUUUAAUAUCAACAACAGAAACAUUCUGUGUCAUCACAUUUGUGGUUGGAAACUACAUCAAUAAUUCAACGUAGUGUGGUUUUCUCUCUGCUGCUACAGACUGUUGGACUUCAGAUAAAGCCCAUCAACCAUGAAGGAACUUUGUCCCAGAGGAAACAAGGCGAGUACAUGCCAAACGUGUUCGGCCUCAACAGCUGUUCUCAAAACAGUGAAAUAUGCUCUUAUUCUUCCUAGUGCCCUAGAAGACAGGAACCUGCACUCAAGUGUGCGUCUGGCCGACGAAUUUUACGGGCCGCGGAUAAGAGGUGAUAAAAAUGGCGCUCCCGAGGAACGGGCUGAGCGGUGUGUAGAAGAGCGUCGUGAUGAACGUCUGCAGCAGCAGCAUGGCAGAGUCUGAGCGGCUCCGUCAAGGAGAAAAACUAAACAACUGUCCUUAAAGCACUGACCUUGUUGAAGACGAUGGACAUGAGGAAGAAGUUGAGCAGGAAGGUCUCAGAGGCGCUGCUGCAGUCGAACUCAAAGAAGAUGAUGGUGAAGAUGAGCGUGAGGAACUGGUAGCUGG
Long non-coding RNA from Puntigrus tetrazona (Sumatra barb), 647 nucleotides. RefSeq lists it as uncharacterized. Lineage: Eukaryota; Metazoa; Chordata; Actinopteri; Cypriniformes; Cyprinidae. The transcript is spliced from 3 exons. The record is from RefSeq and is a predicted model, not a curated record.